GAUGAACGCUGGCGGCGUGCUUAACACAUGCAAGUCGAACGGAAAGGCCUCUGCUUGCAGGGGGACUCGAGUGGCGAACGGGUGAGUAACACGUGGGUGAUCUGCCCUGCACUUCGGGAUAAGCCUGGGAAACUGGGUCUAAUACCGGAUAGGACAAUGGUUUGGAUGCUGUUGUGGAAAGUUUUUCGGUGUGGGAUGAGCUCGCGGCCUAUCAGCUUGUUGGUGGGGUAAUGGCCUACCAAGGCGUCGACGGGUAGCCGGCCUGCGAGGGUGUACGGACAGACUAGAACCGAGCUGCGGCCCAGACUCGUACGGGAGGCAGCAGGGGGGAAUAUUGGACAAUGGGCGCAAGCCUGAGGCAGCGACGCCGUGUGGUGGAUGAGGGCCUUUGGGUUGUAAACUCCUCUCGCUAGGGACGAAGCCGUUUUGUGACGGUACCUGGAGAAGAAGCACCGGCUAACUACGUG
RNAcentral lists this ribosomal RNA (467 nucleotides) under uncultured bacterium. RNAcentral's name for it is "partial 16S ribosomal RNA". It matches the Rfam family "Bacterial small subunit ribosomal RNA", at positions 28 to 507 of the family's 1533-position model. The record is from RNAcentral.